AGUUUACUAGAGCUUUCAUACAGGUGCUGCACGGCUGUCGUCAGCUCGUGUCGUGAGAUGUUGGGUUAAGUCCCGCAACGAGCGCAACCCUCGUGUUUAGUUACUAACAGUUCGGCUGAGGACUCUAAACAGACUGCCUGGGCAACCAGGAGGAAGGUGAGGACGACGUCAAGUCAUCAUGGCCCUUACGGCCAGGGCUACACACGUGCUACAAUGGGGUAUACAAAGAGCCGCGAUACCGUGAGGUGGAGCAAAUCUCAUAAAAUAUCUCCCAGUUCGGAUAGCAGUCUGCAACUCGACUGCUUGAAGUUGGAAUCGCUAGUAAUCGUAGAUCAGCAAUGCUACGGUGAAUACGUUCCCGGGUCUUGUACUCACCGCCCGUCACACCAUGGGAAUUGAAUUCAUUCGAAGCGGGGAUGCUAAAAUAGCUACCUUCCACAGUGGAUUUAGUAACUAGGGUGAAGUCGUAACAAGGUA
RNAcentral lists this ribosomal RNA (477 nucleotides) under uncultured bacterium. Its description in RNAcentral is "bacterial SSU rRNA". It matches the Rfam family "Bacterial small subunit ribosomal RNA", at positions 1014 to 1498 of the family's 1533-position model. The record is from RNAcentral.